This 490-nucleotide ribosomal RNA is filed under the name uncultured bacterium. RNAcentral describes it as "partial 16S ribosomal RNA". It matches the Rfam family "Bacterial small subunit ribosomal RNA", at positions 30 to 507 of the family's 1533-position model. The record is from RNAcentral.
AUUGAACGCUGGCGGCAGGCCUAACACAUGCAAGUCGAACGGUAACAGAAAGCAGCUUGCUGCUUUGCUGACGAGUGGCGGACGGGUGAGUAAUGUCUGGGACACUUCCUGAUGGAGGGGGAUAACUACUGGAAACGGUAGCUACUACCGCAUAACGUCGCAAGACCAAAGAGGGGGACCUUCGGGCCUCUUACCAUCGGAUAUGCCCAGAUGGGAUUAGCUAGUAGGUGGGGUAAAGGCUCACCUAGGCGACGAUCCCUAGCUGGUCUGAGAGGAUGACCAGCCACACUGGAACUGAGACACGGUCCAGACUCCUACGGGAGGCAGCAGUGGGGAAUAUUGCACAAUGGGCGAAAGCCUGAUGCAGCCAUGCCGCGUGUAUGAAGAAGGCCUUCGGGUUGUAAAGUACUUUCAGCGGGGAGGAAGGGAGUAAAGUUAAUACCUUUGCUCAUUGACGUUACCCGCAGAAGAAGCACCGGCUAACUCCGUG